RNAcentral lists this ribosomal RNA (247 nucleotides) under uncultured bacterium. RNAcentral's name for it is "partial 16S ribosomal RNA". It matches the Rfam family "Bacterial small subunit ribosomal RNA", at positions 523 to 769 of the family's 1533-position model. The record is from RNAcentral.
AUACGUAGGUGGCAAGCGCUAUCCGGAUUUACUGGGCGUAAAGGGAGCGUGGGCGGAUUUUUAAGUGAGAUGUGAAAUACUCAGGCUUAACCUGAGUGCUGCAUUUCAAACUGGAUAUCUAGAGUGCAGGAGAGGAGAAUGGAAUUCCUAGUGUAGCGGUGAAAUGCGUAGAGAUUAGGAAGAACACCAGUGGCGAAGGCGAUUCUCUGGACUGUAACUGACGCUGAGGCUCGAAAGCGUGGGGAGC